GCGGCUAUCGUCUAGUGGUUUAGGAUCUCACCUUCCCAUUCGCAACGUGGCGCGUGCUUCACGCGGAAGUAGGUGAGGGCGGGAGUUCGAACCUCCCUAGUCGCA
This is a non-coding RNA of Malassezia sp. CBS 17886, 105 nucleotides long. Lineage: Eukaryota; Fungi; Basidiomycota; Malasseziomycetes; Malasseziales; Malasseziaceae. The record is from the annotation of a GenBank genome assembly.